UACGAAGGGGGCUAGCGUUGUUCGGAAUUACUGGGCGUAAAGGGCGCGUAGGCGGCGUGUCAAGUCAGGCGUGAAGGCCCCGGGCUCAACCUGGGAACCGCGCUUGAGACUGGCAUGCUCGAGUUCGGGAGAGGAUGGUGGAAUUCCCAGUGUAGAGGUGAAAUUCGUAGAUAUUCGGAAGAACACCAGUGGCGAAGGCGACUUACU
RNAcentral lists this ribosomal RNA (207 nucleotides) under uncultured bacterium. RNAcentral's name for it is "partial 16S ribosomal RNA". It matches the Rfam family "Bacterial small subunit ribosomal RNA", at positions 524 to 730 of the family's 1533-position model. The record is from RNAcentral.